This 254-nucleotide ribosomal RNA is filed under the name uncultured bacterium. RNAcentral's name for it is "partial 16S ribosomal RNA". It matches the Rfam family "Bacterial small subunit ribosomal RNA", at positions 524 to 776 of the family's 1533-position model. The record is from RNAcentral.
UACGUAGGGGGCAAGCGUUGUCCGGAAUCAUUGGGCGUAAAGAGCGUGUAGGCGGCUUGGCAAGUCUGACGUGAAAGCCCGCGGCUCAACCGCGGAUUGUCGUUGGAAACUGCCUCGCUAGAGUCCGGAAGAGGAGAGCGGAAUUCCUGGUGUAGCGGUGGAAUGCGCAGGAUAUCAGGAAGAACACCCGUGGCGAAGGCGGCUCUCUGGGACGGUACUGACGCUGAGGUACGAAAGCGUGGGGAGCGAACAGG